This 69-nucleotide transfer RNA is filed under the name Ictidomys tridecemlineatus (thirteen-lined ground squirrel). RNAcentral describes it as "Spermophilus tridecemlineatus (thirteen-lined ground squirrel) tRNA". It matches the Rfam family "tRNA". From Rfam's summary of the family: Transfer RNA (tRNA) molecules are approximately 80 nucleotides in length. Their secondary structure includes four short double-helical elements and three loops (D, anti-codon, and T loops). Further hydrogen bonds mediate the characteristic L-shaped molecular structure. tRNAs have two regions of fundamental functional importance: the anti-codon, which is responsible for specific mRNA codon recognition, and the 3' end, to which the tRNAs corresponding amino acid is attached (by aminoacyl-tRNA synthetases). tRNAs cope with the degeneracy of the genetic code in two manners: having more than one tRNA (with a specific anti-codon) for a particular amino acid; and 'wobble' base-pairing, i.e. permitting non-standard base-pairing at the 3rd anti-codon position. Lineage: Eukaryota; Metazoa; Chordata; Mammalia; Rodentia; Sciuridae. The record is from Rfam by way of RNAcentral.
GGAGUUGUAGCUCAGUGGUAGAGUGCUUGCUUAGCAUGUGUGAGGUCCUGGGUUCUAUCCCCAGCACCA